Molecule: long non-coding RNA, 1209 nt
Organism: Capsicum annuum
Lineage: Eukaryota; Viridiplantae; Streptophyta; Magnoliopsida; Solanales; Solanaceae
Exons: 4
Source: RefSeq, a predicted model, not a curated record
GGAAACCUAAAUCUACUCCACUCUAAACCUAAAUCUACUCCACUCUAAAUCAUUCAGAAAAUUGCUGAAUCUGUGAGUUUCAUCGUCUGACGGUCGGCGUCGCUAAAUUUAUGGAACCGUAGCUCUGUGGAACCGAAGUAAGAAAAGUGCCAAUUGUUAGAGUUGUCGAUGAUCUGGUAGAUUUGUGGGAUCGGAUAGCUAUAACUAAAGUGUUUUUCAAAGGAAUUUCUGUGGCUCAUUAUCGGUAUCUGAUUUGGAAACCUCAUACUCCAAAGACUGCAAUUGCUUCAUCCACAUCAAAGGAAGUGAGGAAUUGUUGUGCAAGUUUUCUUCAGUUAAGGUAUUCCUUUUGGUUCACAUCAGUGAGGUCAAACCAAAAGGUUGGCAGAAGACGAAGAUAGAAAAGACGCAAAAAAACCUUUGUUGAAUCUGAUCACAAAGGAUUUCCUGGUGAUGAUGCACUUAAUGUUUCAAGCGAAAGGGAUUUCUCCAAAUUCUCGCCUGGUGGAGAUAGAAGGAAUGGUCGGGAUGCCGAUAUGGAUUCAAAUUCAAAUGAAAUUAUGGUUGACCAUGAGAGCAGAAUUACUUCUCAUAUUGGUGUGGAUAACUUUAGUGAUGAAGAUCUGAACGGUUCCAGUUUAAACAGCUCUGGCAGCAGUCACUAUAGAGCUUUUUGGGAUGUCUUUAGAAGGAAAGAUGUGCCGAUGCUUAUCGAGUAUCUAAGAUUUAAUUGAAAGAAACAUGGAGAUUCAGACCAUCUAACGGAUGAUUCUGUAGGUUAAGGUGGAUGAGACAAUGUAAACUUAGCUUAAAUUGGCUCCGUUACGUCAACAAUGAUAGGGACAAGUGAGAUCUCAUCAUAUAUGGCUCAUCAUUAGGUGUUUGUGCUGCUUUCCAUGCUCCAGUGGUUGUCCUCCUAUUUGCAUUAGAGGAAGUGGCAACAUGGUGGAGAAAUGCCCUCAUCUGGAGAACUUCCUUUAUCACUGUUGUUGUCUUGGUAGUACAAGGUCUUCAUGGAAUACUUGUAAAUCUGGUAGCUAUGGACUUUUUAGGAGAGGUGGACUUAUCAUGUUUGAUUUAAGUGGUGUAAUUGUUAAGAUUCAUAGCAAAAUUAGGCAUUGGGCCCGUGCAAAGCAUGGGCUUCAUUAUCUAGUUGUGUUAUAAUUUAUUAUGUAUGUAAAUAAAAAUUUAUAUUAAUACGACUAUUCA